CCUACGGGAUGCAGCAGUGGGGAAUAUUGCACAAUGGGGGAAACCCUGAUGCAGCGACGCCGCGUGAGUGAAGAAGUAUUUCGGUAUGUAAAGCUCUAUCAGCAGGGAAGAAACCCACCCUCCGGGGUGGCUGACGGUACCUGACUAAGAAGCCCCGGCUAACUACGUGCCAGCAGCCGCGGUAAUACGUAGGGGGCAAGCGUUAUCCGGAUUUACUGGGUGUAAAGGGAGCGUAGGUGGCAAGGCAAGUCAGAUGUGAAAACCCGGGGCCCAACCCCGGGAGUGCAUUUGAAACUGUCUGGCUAGAGUGCAGGAGAGGUAAGUGGAAUUCCUAGUGUAGCGGUGAAAUGCAUAGAUAUUAGGAGGAACACCGAUUGCGAAGGCAGCUUACCAAGCUACUUCUGACGUUGAGGCACGAAAGCGUGGGGAGCAAACAGGAUUAGAUACCCCAGUAGUC
This 457-nucleotide ribosomal RNA is filed under the name uncultured bacterium. Its description in RNAcentral is "partial 16S ribosomal RNA". It matches the Rfam family "Bacterial small subunit ribosomal RNA", at positions 338 to 795 of the family's 1533-position model. The record is from RNAcentral.